Molecule: ribosomal RNA, 435 nt
Filed under: uncultured bacterium
Lineage: Bacteria
Description: bacterial SSU rRNA
Rfam family: Bacterial small subunit ribosomal RNA
Source: RNAcentral
GAUGAACGCUGGCGGCGUGCUUAACACAUGCAAGUCGAACGAAGUGCUUUAGAACAAUCCCUUCGGGGUGCGUUCUAAAGUAUCUUAGUGGCGGACGGGUGAGUAACGCGUGGGUAACCUGCCUCAUGCAGGGGGAUAACAGUUAGAAAUGACUGCUAAUACCGCAUAAGCGCACAGUAUCGCAUGAUACAGUGUGAAAAGAUUAUCAGCAUGAGAUGGACCCGCGUCUGAUUAGCUAGUUGGUGAGGUAACGGCUCACCAAGGCGACGAUCAGUAGCCGACUUGAGAGAGUGAUCGGCCACAUUGGGACUGAGACACGGCCCAAACUCCUACGGGAGGCAGCAGUGGGGAAUAUUGCACAAUGGGGGAAACCCUGAUGCAGCGACGCCGCGUGAGCGAUGAAGUAUUUCGGUAUGUAAAGCUCUAUCAGCAGGG